This 139-nucleotide ribosomal RNA is filed under the name uncultured eukaryote. RNAcentral describes it as "partial small subunit ribosomal RNA". It matches the Rfam family "Eukaryotic small subunit ribosomal RNA", at positions 1297 to 1461 of the family's 1831-position model. The record is from RNAcentral.
GUUCGUGGAGUAAUCUGUCUGGUUAAUUCCGUUAACGAACGAGACCUCAGCUUACUAAUUGAUGUAUGUAUUGUAUAUAUGCUAUCACUUAGAAGGACUGUGUCUUCUCAGGACAAGGAAGCUUGAGGCAAUAACAGGU